Molecule: ribosomal RNA, 253 nt
Filed under: uncultured bacterium
Lineage: Bacteria
Description: partial 16S ribosomal RNA
Rfam family: Bacterial small subunit ribosomal RNA
Source: RNAcentral
UACGUAGGGUGCAAGCGUUAAUCGGAAUUACUGGGCGUAAAGCGUGCGCAGGCGGUUUUGUAAGUUUGUCGUGAAAGCCCCGGGCUCAACCUGGGAAUGGCGAUGAAGACUGCAAGGCUUGAAUCUGGCAGAGGGGGGUAGAAUUCCACGUGUAGCAGUGAAAUGCGUAGAGAUGUGGAGGAACACCGAUGGCGAAGGCAGCCCCCUGGGUCAAUAUUGACGCUCAUGCACGAAAGCGUGGGGAGCAAACAGG